UGGGGAAUAUUGGACAAUGGGCGGAAGCCUGAUCCAGCCAUGCCGCGUGUGUGAAGAAGGCCUUUUGGUUGUAAAGCACUUUACGCGAGGAGGAGGCUACUUGGAUUAAUACUCUAGGAUAGUGGACGUUACUCGCAGAAUAAGCACCGGCUAACUCUGUGCCAGCAUCCGCGGUAAUACAGAGGGUGCGAGCGUUAAUCGGAUUUACUGGGCGUAAAGCGUGCGUAGGCGGCUUCUUAAGUCGGAUGUGAAAUCCCUGAGCUUAACUUAGGAAUUGCAUUCGAUACUGGGAAGCUAGAGUAUGGGGGAGGAUGGUAGAAUUCCAGGUGUAGCGGUGAAAUGCGUAGAGAUCUGGAGGAAUACCGAUGGCGAAGGCAGCCAUCUGGCCUAAUACUGACGCUGAGGUACGAAAGCAUGGGGAGCAAACAGG
RNAcentral lists this ribosomal RNA (430 nucleotides) under Bacillota bacterium. RNAcentral's name for it is "Firmicutes bacterium partial 16S ribosomal RNA". It matches the Rfam family "Bacterial small subunit ribosomal RNA", at positions 355 to 776 of the family's 1533-position model. The record is from RNAcentral. Lineage: Bacteria; Bacillati; Bacillota.